Molecule: ribosomal RNA, 501 nt
Filed under: uncultured Rikenellaceae bacterium
Lineage: Bacteria; Pseudomonadati; Bacteroidota; Bacteroidia; Bacteroidales; Rikenellaceae
Description: bacterial SSU rRNA
Rfam family: Bacterial small subunit ribosomal RNA
Source: RNAcentral
UUGCCAGCCCGCUCAGAAACUCAAAGGAAUUGACGGGGGCCCGCACAAGCGGAGGAACAUGUGGUUUAAUUCGAUGAUACGCGAGGAACCUUACCUGGGCUAGAACGCAUUCGGAAUCAGGCCGAAAGGCCUGCGCCAGCGAUGGCCGCUUGCGAGGUGCUGCAUGGUUGUCGUCAGCUCGUGCCGUGAGGUGUCGGGUUAAGUCCCAUAACGAGCGCAACCCCUACUGCUAGUUGCCAGCGGGUCAUGCCGGGGACUCUAGCGGAACUGCCAGCGUAAGCUGCGAGGAAGGUGGGGAUGACGUCAAAUCAGCACGGCCCUUACGUCCAGGGCUACACACGUGUUACAAUGGCCGGUACAGAGGGCAGCCACCCCGCGAGGGGGCGCGAAUCCCGAAAGCCGGUCCCAGUUCGGAUCGGAGUCUGCAACCCGACUCCGUGAAGCUGGAUUCGCUAGUAAUCGCGCAUCAGCCACGGCGCGGUGAAUACGUUCCCGGGCCUU